UCUAAGAACCUGGAAGGGCCGUGGGGACC
This 29-nucleotide non-coding RNA is filed under the name Mus musculus (house mouse). The record is from RNAcentral. Lineage: Eukaryota; Metazoa; Chordata; Mammalia; Rodentia; Muridae.